CACUUUUGCUUCUGGUCUUGC
This 21-nucleotide microRNA is filed under the name Columba livia (rock pigeon). Its description in RNAcentral is "cli-miR-9632-3p". The record is from miRBase by way of RNAcentral. Lineage: Eukaryota; Metazoa; Chordata; Aves; Columbiformes; Columbidae.